Molecule: ribosomal RNA, 511 nt
Filed under: uncultured archaeon
Lineage: Archaea
Description: bacterial SSU rRNA
Rfam family: Archaeal small subunit ribosomal RNA
Source: RNAcentral
AUCUCUGCAAUAGGCGAAAGCUUGACAGGGUUACUCUGAGUGAUUCCCGCUAAGGGGAUCUUUUGGCACCUUUAAAAAUGGUGCAGAAUAAGGGGUGGGCAAGUCUGGUGUCAGCCGCCGCGGUAAUACCAGCACCCCGAGUGGUCGGGACGAUUAUUGGGCCUAAAGCAUCCGUAGCCGGUACUGCAAGUCUUCCGUUAAAUCCACCUGCUUAACAGUUGGGCUGCGGGGGAUACUACAGCGCUAGGAGGCGGGAGAGGCAAGCGGUACUCAAUGGGUAGGGGUAAAAUCCGCUGAUCCAUUGAAGACCACCAGUGGCGAAGGCGGCUUGCCAGAACGCGCUCGACGGUGAGGGAUGAAAGCUGGGGGAGCAAACCGGAUUAGAUACCCGGGUAGUCCCAGCUGUAAACGAUGCAGACUCGGUGAUGGGUUGGCCUUGUGCCAACCCAGUGCCGCAGGGAAGCCGUUAAGUCUGCCGCCUGGGGAGUACGGUCGCAAGACUGAAACUUAA